AAAAAACUUAUCAACAUCUUUUUGAAAUAAUUUGACUGAUAUUUAUUAUUACAUAGCUCAAGGCGAAAAAACACUAAGAAAAUUCAGCAAACAGCAACAUGAAAAGACCAAACAGACAACUAAGCCACAUACAUCAACAUGAAACGAGAAAACAAUAAAUAAAGGAAACAACAGUCAACCAAAAAAACACCUAGAAACUACCAAGGCCAAAAGAAAGAAGAAAUCCGCCCAAGCCAAAACAGCAGCACAUUCCAGAAGCCAAAUAUCAGCCAAACAGUUCCCUCACCUUAAGUAAAAGAAGAAGGAACAAGUGCUUUGAAAUCCAAACUUGAGAUUCAGCGAACCUUCUCCACAUUCAAAGCAAAUCAAAGGGCACAUUGAUGACUUUAGUUCCAGGCCAAUCGACCCUUCAUCGCCAUCGUCUGCAUAGAAUCUGGCACCCAUCAUCCCAGCCCCCAAAAGCCUGUCUUCUCAGACCUUCCAAGCUAACGUGUGCGCCGCUCCAUUCACCAUUCGAGGCCCAAAGAGUGAAUCACCUUCCACGAUUAGUCGCCGGAAGCCUAUAGCACCCGCUAAAAGUAGAGCCCUUUUGCAUGCCCGUGCCUCCACCACAAAAGCAUCAACCACAUCCUUAAAAAGAUAAGUCUCCGCCCCCACAAUUUCUCCUUCCAAGUUUCUAGCUAAAACUGAUGUUAUAGCGAUUCUAUCAACACUUUGAAAAGUCGCAUCAAAGUUUAACUUAAUAACUCCAGUGUCUGGGGGUUUCCAAAUUUCAUUUGCUAUAGAUCUAAAGGAUGGACAGAAGUUCUAUUGAUUAAGAAUAAGUUCUUGAUUAUACCCUCUAAUAAACCCCAAUAGCUCCUGCAAAGAAAACUUUACACUUUCAUGUAUCAAUUUAUUCCUUCGAUGCCAUAGACCCCAUAAGGAAAGAGCCAUAAUUUGGCUUUGUUGUUCUUCUGCUGCAGAAAAGAUGUUAGCAAAACGAAUCUUCCAACUUAUCAAAGCUUAACGAUGCCCAUACACACUGUAAGAAAUCACAAGACCACACCAGGUGAUCAGCAUCCUCUGGAUCUUUCUUGCACAAAGGGCAGACAGUUUCAACACUCAAAGUUCUACGCGCCAGGUUGCAGAAAUGGGGCAAAAAAUUAUCAAACAUCCUCCAUAUGUGUAUUUUUACUUUUUCAGGAAUGUGUAAAGCCCAUAAUGAUUUGUAAAAUUCAUUGUAUUCCUCACCGUUAGGGGAAGUGUCUAAAGUAUUCUGUAUGUGUUCUGAAGAUAAGACCCGAUACCCACUUUUAAUUGUAUAUUCCCUCAAGCCUUCAUAUUUCCAAACCAUCAUGUCCGCCGAUCUAUCCCUUGAAAUAAGAAUAGAGAAAAUACGAGUUGUUGUAUCAGCAUAAAAAAUAUUAUGAACAAGCUCCUUAUUCCAGGUAUUAGUCUCAUAAUUGAUCAGUUGAUUCAUCUUAGUUCAGUUAGGCAUAA
This is a long non-coding RNA of Gossypium arboreum, 1482 nucleotides long. RefSeq lists it as uncharacterized. Lineage: Eukaryota; Viridiplantae; Streptophyta; Magnoliopsida; Malvales; Malvaceae. The record is from RefSeq and is a predicted model, not a curated record. The transcript has 2 exons.